AGUGAACGCUGGCGGUAGGCCUAACACAUGCAAGUCGAACGGCAGCACAGGAGAGCUUGCUCUCUGGGUGGCGAGUGGCGGGCGGGUGAGGAAUACAUCGGAAUCUGCCCAGUCGUGGGGGAUAACGUAGGGAAACUAUGACUAUAACCCCACAGACCCUCCGGGGGAAAAAGGGGGGCAUCAUGACCCCUCGCGCUAUAGUAGGCGACGUCGGAUUAGCUAGUUGUCGGGGUAAUGGCCCACCAAGGCGGCGAUCCGUAGCUGGUCUGAGAGGAUGAUCAGCCACACUGGAACUGAGACACGGCCCAGACUCCUACGGGAGGCAGCAGUGGGGAAUAUUGGACAAUGGGCGCAAGCCUGAUCCAGCCAUACCGCGUGGGUGAAGAAGGCCUUCGGGUUGUAAAGCCCUUUUGUUGGGAAAGAAAUCUUUCAGGCUAAUACCCUGGGAGGAUGACGGUACCCAAAGAAUAAGCACCGGCUAACUUCGUG
RNAcentral lists this ribosomal RNA (489 nucleotides) under uncultured bacterium. RNAcentral describes it as "partial 16S ribosomal RNA". It matches the Rfam family "Bacterial small subunit ribosomal RNA", at positions 29 to 507 of the family's 1533-position model. The record is from RNAcentral.